This 292-nucleotide unclassified non-coding RNA is filed under the name uncultured fungus. RNAcentral describes it as "partial contains 5.8S rRNA and ITS2". Lineage: Eukaryota; Fungi. The record is from RNAcentral.
ACGCACCUUGCGCUCCUUGGUAUUCCGUGGAGCAUGCCUGUUUGAGUGUCGUUAAAUCAUUAAUCCCACUUGUUGCUUCAUUGCAUGAGUGUAGGCAUUGGACUUAGGGACUUGCUCUCGGCUUGUUGGCUUCCCUCAAAUGCAUUAGCUGGAAUUUGCUUGCGCAUAUAUGCGGUGUGAUAAUAUCUUCACCGUGUCGUGCUCCUGAACCUUUGGCUUCUAACCGUCCUUCAGUUGGACCUCUCUUUGACAAUCUGACCUCAAAGCAGGUAGGACUACCCGCUGAACUUAA